This is a non-coding RNA of Callorhinus ursinus (northern fur seal), 1693 nucleotides long. The record is from RefSeq and is a predicted model, not a curated record. Lineage: Eukaryota; Metazoa; Chordata; Mammalia; Carnivora; Otariidae.
GGGGACACGGAGGGGCAGCGGGGAGGCUGGCCGGGUUUACAUUCCCUCUCCACUCCUUUCUCACUCCCGCCAUCACCCAUGGCCGUCACCAGCACACUACACAGGGACAAAAUAAUGAAGAUAGCCAUAGUUAAAUCUCCUGGAUGGUCCUUAGGCUCCUGAAUCAUUAUGCAGAAUGGGAAAUAGAAAGAUAAAAGACAGACAGGACCUGGGUGCAAGACGUCUCUUUGAGUCUCUGGAGUUUCCUGCUCUCUGAGAGGUGCCGCUGGGCAAGAGGCAUGAUGGGCACAUUGAAGAUGGAACCUUUUUCUUGGCUGCGAGGCCGCAAGCGAAACUCACCUGCCCACACCUCUCCAGUGGGGUCCCCCCCCUUCCCUCCAGGCUCUGCUUCUCAUCACUCUCUCCGACUCCUCACCAGCCAUCAGCCAGAGCCCUGUCGGCGGGCUCCAGCUUGGAGAGUAAUGCUGAGAGCACAAAGCACCUGGGCGGAGUUGGGAGGCUGAAGGGCUGAGCCAGAUCUACAGUGGGGAGGCUCUGAGCACCCUAGAUCACUGGAGGGGAGUAGACGGGGUGGGGAGCCAGUCAGAAAUUGGGGCGGUGGGGGGCAGGUGCAGAGUGUAACAGAAAUCCCUUGUCUCCCCUUUAAGCAGGACUGAUGGGCCAGGUCUGAGGUCAGGGGGCUUGGAAAACUGGCUGUGGAAUUAACUUAGCAGCCCACAGCCCUCAACUCCAGGAAACCCUCCACUGAAAUGUUGCAGAAGCAGAGAGCGAAGCCACCUCCCAUUCUCCGCCAGGUGACCUGUAAGAGGCCACCCUCAUCUGGACGGCCAGGUCCUGAGGGGAAUAAGGAGAGACUGAGGGUUCCACGGAGGGGACAUGCUUCCCUCGUGAGCCUGGGGGAGAAUCCUUUCCAACGUGGACCUGCCCAGGAAGAUUUGCCUGGGAAGACGUUAGUUGGACCUUGCAGGCAGAAUGCGUUCGUGGGACAGAAAGAGGAAAGACAUGACGGCCAAAGGAAACAGAAGGUGCAAAGGAUUUUUUUCCUUCGGUGACCACAGUUCUUGGUCACGCCGCUUUGAAGAAUGAAGAGGUAAACCAGAUGAAAAGUGGUGGGCAGCAAAGCAAAGUUUCUUGAGUGAUAGUAAAGUUUAUUGAGUGACAGUACAAAGCUCCCGAAGAGGGAGGGGACCUGAGAGGGUUGCCUAAGAUGGACCAGGAUCUAACGCCGAGACCUAGCCCUGGCCACAAGGCAGUGUGCCAGCCGGGGAACUCGAGUCCGGGCUCUUUGGGGAGUUACUGUCUCAGCUCCCAGCUAAGAACACACUGUUAUGAUGGCUCCCAUUUCUCUAACCAGUGUUGCCAAGCAGAGGUCAACGUUCACUCCAGUAAGGUAUCGCCAGGCUCUCACAUGGGGAGGUGGGUCACCACUGGGGGAGAACCCUUUGCCUUGGCUGGUGGGGAAGCUGGUAUAUAAGAGAGGCCACCCCUGACCACCUUCUCUACGUGUCUUGCUGUCACAUUAUGCCCUCUGAUAUCGUUUCAUUCAAAUCUUCCCAACCGUCAGGCCCAAAUACCCUAAAAACUUGCGGGAAAAGUGUCCCUUUUUGGAGAAUUACUCAGGAGACAGGAACACGCACGCUGCUCCUCUCAUUAGGACAUAUUUCCCUUUGAAUAAACGUGGCCCCGGCCUCUA